UUUUUUUAAAGUUUAAGAGGAAAUGAACGAUGGAGUGCUAGUAUUUAUUUGUUUGGGGAAUUGACACACGGACGGAAAUGGAAAAAAGUAGUACUAUAAUAAAAAAAAUGAAAUGUCAUUUUCAUUUUUAUUCUAAAUUCCAUUGAAUUUUAAGUUUUGUGGAACAAGUGUACAUAAGUCAUAAAGUAGUUGGAAUCUGGCUAAAUAACAAAAACUAAUACUAGCAAUCAUAAACAAUUGAAGACCCAAAAAAAUUAUCUUGCCUGCGCGUUAUAAAGAAAUUAUAUAACAAAAACUAAUACUAGCAAUCAUAAACAAUUGCAAAGCAAAUUCAAAAAUCAAAGUAGGUGAAGAUAUUGCACUGGAAGUUUUGAAUAUAUGUAGGGAGGGAGGGAGUUGGGGUGUAAG
Molecule: long non-coding RNA, 408 nt
Filed under: Panax ginseng (ginseng)
Lineage: Eukaryota; Viridiplantae; Streptophyta; Magnoliopsida; Apiales; Araliaceae
Description: long non-coding RNA (PGIN_LNC013823)
Source: RNAcentral